GGACCCCACUGCUAUCGGGGUAGGACUAAGCCAUGCGAGUCGAGCGUCUCCGAGCCGACGGCGGAGACGCGGCGGACGGCUCCGUAACACGUAGCCAACCUACCUUCGGGACGGGGAUAACCCCGGGAAACUGGGGCUAAUCCCCGAUAGGCAAGGAGGCCUGGAAUGGUCCCUUGCCCAAAGGGCGUUGGAACCGCGCUUCCAACGCCGCCCGAAGAUGGGGCUGCGGCCGAUCAGGUAGUUGGUGGGGUAACGGCCCACCAAGCCUAUAACCGGUACGGGCCGUGAGAGCGGGAGCCCGGAGAUGGGCACUGAGACAAGGGCCCAGGCCCUACGGGGCGCAGCAGGCGCGAAACCUCCGCAAUGCGCGAAAGCGCGACGGGGUUACCCCGAGUGCCGUCCGCUGAGGACGGCUUUUCCCCGGUGUAAUGAGCCGGGGGAAUAAGGGGAGGGCAAGCCUGGUGUCAGCCGCCGCGGUAAUACCAGCUCCCCGAGUGGUGGGGACGAUUAUUGGGCCUAAAGCGUCCGUAGCCGGCCCGGCAAGUCUCCCGUUAAAUCCAACGAUCUAAUCGUUGGGCUGCGGGAGAUACUGUCGGGCUAGGGGGCGGGAGAGGCCGGCGGUAUUCCCGGGGUAGGGGUGAAAUCCUAUAAUCCCGGGAGGACCACCAGUGGCGAAGGCGGCCGGCUGGAACGCGCCCGACGGUGAGGGACGAAAGCUGGGGGAGCGAUCCGGAUUAGAUACCCGGGUAGUCCCAGCCGUAAACGAUGCAGGCUAGGUGUUGGCGUGGCUACGAGUCACGCCAGUGCCGCAGGGAAGCCGUUAAGCCUGCCGCCUGGGGAGUACGGUCGCAAGACUGAAACUUAA
RNAcentral lists this ribosomal RNA (865 nucleotides) under uncultured crenarchaeote. RNAcentral's name for it is "bacterial SSU rRNA". It matches the Rfam family "Archaeal small subunit ribosomal RNA", at positions 19 to 859 of the family's 1478-position model. The record is from RNAcentral. Lineage: Archaea; Thermoproteati; Thermoproteota.